RNAcentral lists this long non-coding RNA (474 nucleotides) under Ananas comosus (pineapple). Its description in RNAcentral is "long non-coding RNA (ACOM_LNC027746)". The record is from RNAcentral. Lineage: Eukaryota; Viridiplantae; Streptophyta; Magnoliopsida; Poales; Bromeliaceae.
ACAUUUUCACUAUUAUAAUAUUGUUUUUUUCAAAUUUUUCUUAUUAAAAAGUAGGCAAACUUCAAAUACCAACCUUGUGAUUUCACACUUUCUCAUUUUAGUACUCUAUAGUUUAAAGUAUAUCAAGUUAGUGCCCUGUGAUUUUAUUUUUAUCUUUUCGUCAGCUUUUUCAUUAAUAUUUCGUUAAAUUAUAUACAAAAAAAUUUCAGAUACCCACAUAGAUUUAUCGAAUAUUCACUUUAGUACUCUUUAAUUUUAACUUUGUCACUGAUUUAACAAAAAAAAUUAAUGAAAUCGAUAAUAAAAAGAUAAAAAUAAAACCACAGGACACUAAAUUAAUACACUUUAAACCACAUGGUACUAAAGUGAGAAAGUAUAUAACCACAGGGAUGAUAUUUGAAGUUUUUUCAAAAAAAAAUAUAAUUCAUAAACAUAGAUAGCUAAGUCACUCUCUCUUAUUUUUUUAAUUUCUUU